Molecule: ribosomal RNA, 382 nt
Filed under: Planomicrobium mcmeekinii
Lineage: Bacteria; Bacillati; Bacillota; Bacilli; Caryophanales; Caryophanaceae
Description: bacterial SSU rRNA
Rfam family: Bacterial small subunit ribosomal RNA
Source: RNAcentral
GAGCUUGCUCCUUCACUUUAGCGGCGGACGGGUGAGUAACACGUGGGCAACCUGCCCUGCAGAUCGGGAUAACUCCGGGAAACCGGUGCUAAUACCGAAUAGUUUGUCCUCCCUCCUGGGAGGAUACGGAAAGAGGGUUUCGGCUGUCACUGCAGGAUGGCCCGCGGCGCAUUAGCUAGUUGGUGGGGUAACGGCCCACCAAGGCCACGAUGCGUAGCCGACCUGAGAGGGUGAUCGGCCACACUGGGACUGAGACACGGCCCAGACUCCUACAGGAGGCAGCAGUAGGGAAUCUUCCGCAAUGGACGCAAGUCUGACGGAGCAACGCCGCGUGAGUGAUGAAGGUUUUCGGAUCGUAAAACUCUGUUGCGAGGGAAGAACC